Non-coding RNA from Myotis brandtii (Brandt's bat), 75 nucleotides. NCBI's taxonomy places the organism in Eukaryota, Metazoa, Chordata, Mammalia, Chiroptera, Vespertilionidae. The record is from Rfam.
GGCAGUUCUCGGGUGACGCACCCCGGAAUUGGGCUCCCUCCUCUUUGGUUCUGGGUGUGUUACCCAAGAACCGCA